RNAcentral lists this ribosomal RNA (400 nucleotides) under uncultured bacterium. RNAcentral's name for it is "bacterial SSU rRNA". It matches the Rfam family "Bacterial small subunit ribosomal RNA", at positions 355 to 770 of the family's 1533-position model. The record is from RNAcentral.
UCAAGAAUAUUCCCCAAUGGCCGCAAGGCUGAGGGAGCGACGCCGCGUGCAUGAAGAAGCCCUUCGGGGUGUAAAAUGCUUUUAACUGGGACGAAUUCAUGACGGUACCAGUUGAAUCAGGGGCUGCUAAACUCGUGCCAGCAGCAGCGGUAAUACGAGUGCCCCUAGCGUUAUCCGGAUUUAUUGGGCGUAAAGCGUACGUAGGUGGUUUAUCGCAUCUCCUGUUAAAUUCCGAGGCUUAACCUCGGAGCUGCGGGAGAGAUGGCUAAACUAGAGACCGGAAGAGGCAAGCGGAAUUGCUGGUGUAGGGGUUAAAUCCGUUAAUAUCAGCAGGAACACCAAAUGCUAAAGCAACUUGCUAGAACGGUUCUGACGCUAAGGUACGAAAGCGUGGGGAGCG